UACAGAGGUGGCAAGCGUUGUUCGGAUUUAUUGGGCGUAAAGGGUCCGUAGGCGGUUUGAAAAGUCAGAUGUGAAAGCCCACAGCUCAACUGUGGAACUGCAUUUGAAACUUUCAGACUAGAGUGUGAGAGGGGUAAAGGGAAUUCCCGGUGUAAGGGUGAAAUCUGCAGAGAUCGGGAGGAACACCAGUCGCGAAGGCGCUUUACUGGCUCACAACUGACGCUCAGGGACGAAAGCUAGGGUAGCAAACGGG
This 253-nucleotide ribosomal RNA is filed under the name uncultured bacterium. Its description in RNAcentral is "partial 16S ribosomal RNA". It matches the Rfam family "Bacterial small subunit ribosomal RNA", at positions 524 to 776 of the family's 1533-position model. The record is from RNAcentral.